UUAAUGGUUUGGGAAAGCUCUGACAUCAAUCUGUCCCUGUUAUCUGUAUGUUGAGUUUAAAGGGCUGAAAGGUAUAAAAUGUUUAAGAAUGAGCAGGAAGGAUUAAAAAAAUUACAGUGGAUCUUGUGUAAAGUCUUUUAAUUCUUCAACUGUUGUCUAAAAACAAAUGGUUAUUUAGUCUAGUGUCCCUUGAGAGGAUUUGUCCCAGAUUUGUGGGAAAGCAUAUCCUUAUGUUACACACAGGCAGCCAAGUACACACACUGUAUUCAAAACAGAACUGAAUGUUUAUAUGGAUUUAAAUUGUAAAAAUUUGAAAAGAUGAGAAAAAACUAAGUGAUCCAUAUUGGAUAAUUAAUUGGUUAUAUUGUUCUACAACAAAGGGCUCAGCAGGCUUAAGAUAACCCAUUCUGUUUGCCAGGUGGCAAAUUUUGCAUUAACUAUUCAUGAAAUCAAGUGAAUACAUGCUGGAACCACGAGUUUCACAUCCAUGUUACUCCACAAGCAGAGGUCAGUAAAGCAUCUGACCUGUCCAUACUUUGUGUCUCACAAUAUAAAAUGUUAUCCAGUUUAUUUUUGCUUUAUACUUUUGGAAGGGUCUGUGUGCUCUUUGUUUAAAGGAAGUUCUGGAAAAGGCCAGAUAUGAUAGUGAAGAUAGGUGGAAUUUACAAAAAAUCCAGUGAGCAGAGUAAGGACACUUGAUGUUAUAGAAAUAACACAAUUCUGAGGUUUUUUCCAUUAAAAUUAGCAGUAUACCUUAAAGCAAAUAGAAGAGGAGAGUGGAAAAAAUAUGACAAUUGCUUUUGCCUGUGGUGCUGAUUAAAAGUAUUUGACUGUAUUCUUUUCUUUGGAGAAUGAAGUCACUUUUUCUUUACUAUCUAUUAAAAGUGAAAAGUGAUGCUGUAGAAUCAAUACCCUGACUCUAGAGAAGACAUUGCUAAGGUUCGAAAUUUAAUUUUGCUCUUUCAAGUCAUUCAAACCUUGGACUUCCUGCCAAUUUGCAAAGUAAUCAGGCUAGAGAAUCUUAUGAUAGAGGCACCUGCUGCUAGGGAACACAGAUUAAUAUUACCAGCACAUAUUGAGUAAGCUACAGAACAGCCAACACAUACUAAUGAUGCCUGGGCUGCAAAGUCAUCUGGCAGCCUCAAGACAUCCCAAUGUCGGUCCCCUGUGCUCUGCAGUUGUCGCAGCUUCCCAGUACCAGCACAGGCACUUCUUGCCAGAGCAACUUUAUCCUCUCUUUUUUUAUUUAUUUAUUCCAAAGUAGGUCACACUGUGCCAUCUGUUGACACUUAAAACCCACAGAAGUUUCCAGAUUCCCUAUGGUAUCCUGCAGUUUAACAUGUAUUUUUACUACUCCGUUGCUCUACCCCGCUGCUGUAUGUACUGAGACUACUAAUCACAAGAGCUUGUUCAAUCACCUAAUGCAACUGAGCACAGGUCUUGAGUGAUGACUCCACCACUUCGAAUGACCCUGAAACUCUAGCAAAGUUCUGCAUGUGUGUUACAUUGAUCUGAAAACAUCCAACUGCACUCUCAUGAGUUCUUCAUAUGUACAAGGAAACUGAUAUCAAUUUGAACAAACCAGCAAAUUCAUUAUACCCAUAAACCUCUUCUUGUCAACAGUAAACCCAGGAGUAUAUAUA
Molecule: long non-coding RNA, 1643 nt
Organism: Pseudopipra pipra
Lineage: Eukaryota; Metazoa; Chordata; Aves; Passeriformes; Pipridae
Exons: 3
Source: RefSeq, a predicted model, not a curated record